This 558-nucleotide ribosomal RNA is filed under the name Penicillium polonicum. Its description in RNAcentral is "eukaryotic LSU rRNA". The stretch from base 177 to 329 matches the Rfam family "5.8S ribosomal RNA". The record is from RNAcentral. Lineage: Eukaryota; Fungi; Ascomycota; Eurotiomycetes; Eurotiales; Aspergillaceae.
GGGCUACGAGUGAGGCUUUGGGUCACCUCCCACCCGUGUUUAUUUUACCUUGUUGCUUCGGCGGGCCCGCCUUUACUGGCCGCCGGGGGGCUCACGCCCCCGGGCCCGCGCCCGCCGAAGACACCCCCGAACUCUGUCUGAAGAUUGAAGUCUGAGUGAAAAUAUAAAUUAUUUAAAACUUUCAACAACGGAUCUCUUGGUUCCGGCAUCGAUGAAGAACGCAGCGAAAUGCGAUACGUAAUGUGAAUUGCAAAUUCAGUGAAUCAUCGAGUCUUUGAACGCACAUUGCGCCCCCUGGUAUUCCGGGGGGCAUGCCUGUCCGAGCGUCAUUGCUGCCCUCAAGCCCGGCUUGUGUGUUGGGCCCCGUCCUCCGAUUCCGGGGGACGGGCCCGAAAGGCAGCGGCGGCACCGCGUCCGGUCCUCGAGCGUAUGGGGCUUUGUCACCCGCUCUGUAGGCCCGGCCGGCGCUUGCCGAUCAACCCAAAUUUUUAUCCAGGUUGACCUCGGAUCAGGUAGGGAUACCCGCUGAACUUAAGCAUAUCAAUAAGCCGAGAGGAA